UCAUGGCUCAGGAUGAACGCUGGCGGCGUGCCUAAUACAUGCAAGUCGAGCGAACGGACGAGAAGCUUGCUUCUCUGAUGUUAGCGGCGGACGGGUGAGUAACACGUGGAUAACCUACCUAUAAGACUGGGAUAACUUCGGGAAACCGGAGCUAAUACCGGAUAAUAUUUUGAACCGCAUGRUUCAAAAGUGAAAGACGGUCUUGCUGUCACUUAUAGAUGGAUCCGCGCUGCAUUAGCUAGUUGGUAAGGUAACGGCUUACCAAGGCAACGAUGCAUAGCCGACCUGAGAGGGUGAUCGGCCACACUGGAACUGAGACACGGUCCAGACUCCUACGGGAGGCAGCAGUAGGGAAUCUUCCGCAAUGGGCGAAAGCCUGACGGAGCAACGCCGCGUGAGUGAUGAAGGUCUUCGGAUCGUAAAACUCUGUUAUUAGGGAAGAACAUAUGUGUAAGUAACUGUGCACAUCUUGACGGUACCUAAUCAGAAAGCCACGGCUAACUACGUGCCAGCAGCCGCGGUAAUACGUAGGUGGCAAGCGUUAUCCGGAAUUAUUGGGCGUAAAGCGCGCGUAGGCGGUUUUUUAAGUCUGAUGUGAAAGCCCACGGCUCAACCGUGGAGGGUCAUUGGAAACUGGAAAACUUGAGUGCAGAAGAGGAAAGUGGAAUUCCAUGUGUAGCGGUGAAAUGCGCAGAGAUAUGGAGGAACACCAGUGGCGAAGGCGACUUUCUGGUCUGUAACUGACGCUGAUGUGCGAAAGCGUGGGGAUCAAACAGGAUUAGAUACCCUGGUAGUCCACGCCGUAAACGAUGAGUGCUAAGUGUUAGGGGGUUUCCGCCCCUUAGUGCUGCAGCUAACGCAUUAAGCACUCCGCCCUGGGGAG
Molecule: ribosomal RNA, 883 nt
Filed under: Staphylococcus aureus
Lineage: Bacteria; Bacillati; Bacillota; Bacilli; Caryophanales; Staphylococcaceae
Description: bacterial SSU rRNA
Source: RNAcentral